GUCGACGCGAAAGAAGCCUUCGGGCUUCGAGUAGAGUGGCGCACGGGUGAGUAACACGUAGGUAAUCUACCUUCGGGUGGGGAAUAACGCAGGGAAACUUGCGCUAAUACCGCAUAAUGCAGCGGCACCACAUGGUGACAGUUGUUAAAGCGGGGGAUUUUCGGACCUCGCGCCUGGAGAGGAGCCUGCGGCAGAUUAGCUAGUUGGUAGGGUAACGGCUUACCAAGGCGACGAUCUGUAGCCGGCCUGAGAGGGCGGUCGGCCACACUGACACUGACAUACGGGUCAGACUCCUACGGGAGGCAGCAGUCGGGAAUUUUGGGCAAUGGGCGAAAGCCUGACCCAGCAACGCCGCGUGAAGGAUGAAAUCCUUCGGGAUGUAAACUUCGCAAGAAUGGGAAGAAUUAGCGAGUAUUAAUACUGCUCGUGAUGACGGUACCAUUUGUAAGCUCCGGCUAACUCCGUGCCAGCAGCCGCGGUAAUACGGGGGGAGCAAGCGUUGUUCGGAUUUACUGGGCGUAAAGGGCGCGUAGGCGGCCAGCGCAAGUCAGUUGUGAAAUCUCCGGGCUUAACUCGGAGAGGUCAACUGAUACUGCGCGGCUAGAGUGCGGAAGGGGCAACUGGAAUUCUCGGUGUAGCGGUGAAAUGCGUAGAUAUCGAGAGGAACACCUGCGGCGAAGGCGGGUUGCUGGGCCGACACUGACGCUGAUGCGCGAAAGCCAGGGGAGCGAACGGGAUUAGAUACCCCGGUAGUCCUGGCCUUAAACGAUGGAUGCUUGGUGUCUGGAGUUUUAUAGUCUCCGGGUGCCGCAGCUAACGCGUUAAGCAUCCCGCCUGGGGAGUACGGUCG
This 850-nucleotide ribosomal RNA is filed under the name uncultured bacterium. RNAcentral's name for it is "bacterial SSU rRNA". It matches the Rfam family "Bacterial small subunit ribosomal RNA", at positions 61 to 888 of the family's 1533-position model. The record is from RNAcentral.